Molecule: long non-coding RNA, 810 nt
Organism: Cervus elaphus (red deer)
Lineage: Eukaryota; Metazoa; Chordata; Mammalia; Artiodactyla; Cervidae
Exons: 6
Source: RefSeq, a predicted model, not a curated record
CCCAUCUUCUCCUGCUUCCGGCCCUGGACCGGUUCCCCAGUCCUCUGUCCUCUGCUCCGAGCCCGCCACCCUCUCCCUGCCUUCUGAGCCUCGGGUCUCUUCGUGCGUCUGGCUCUCUUCUUUCUCGCCCUCCACACUCUGCUGGCAUCAGGCAAGCUGGAUCAUGACAACUCACUUUUCCAAGGAAAUAAUCCAUUCCUCAAGGGGCAACUGAAUCGGAAAGUGCUCUGGCCCCAAACCCUAUCUCCAAUGUAUGCCUGUAGUUAUAGCUGCUUUGAAUGAUCUGUCUGCUUAAUAUAACAUCUGGGCCAGCUCACAAUGAAGAAGAAGAAAAUGAGACUCAGCAAGGCACUGCUUCAAGGUUAAGAAAUGGGGGUUUUGGCUGGCUUCUCCAUAUUAGUGAUGGCUUAUACUAAGGAGAGCACUAAAGGUUCUGAACUGCAGAAGGUCUGUUUGGAUGUGCAUAUAUUCCUUCUGAGGGAAAGCAUGAAGAGUAGCCUCAUUCUGACAGAGCACCAAUCUGAUCAUCAUACUGAAUGAAGGAAUGAACACAUGCUCUUGGCAGUGAAAGCACACAGUCCUAACCACUGGACCACCAGGAAACUCCCUGUAUUUCUCUUUUCACUCAAGAGCUUUAAGAGAGUUUUAUGGGCCCAGCAUGCUUCCUUUGUGCAACUCUGCCAUUCUUAACAGAGUUUUAAAAUUUUCUGAUGCAAAGACUUUUAGAAAAAUGUUUACUUUCAUUGUACUAUGAUAAAAAAAGAAUGCCAGCUGUGUUGUUUCUAUUUUAUUUAAUUUGAUGAUACUUUC